Molecule: ribosomal RNA, 441 nt
Filed under: uncultured bacterium
Lineage: Bacteria
Description: partial 16S ribosomal RNA
Rfam family: Bacterial small subunit ribosomal RNA
Source: RNAcentral
CCUACGGGUGUCAGCAGUGGGGGAUAUUGCACAAUGGGGGGAACCCUGAUGCAGCGACGCCGCGUGGGUGAAGGAGCGUUUCGGCGCGUAAAGCCCUAUCGGCAGGGAAGAAGGAGGACGGUACCUGACUAAGAAGCCCCGGCUAACUACGUGCCAGCAGCCGCGGUAAUACGUAGGGGGCAAGCGUUAUCCGGAUUUACUGGGUGUAAAGGGGGCGCAGACGGCAGCGCAAGCCAGGAGUGAAAGCCCGGGGCCCAACCCCGGGACUGCUCUUGGAACUGCGCGGCUGGAGUGCAGGAGGGGUAGGCGGAAUUCCUGGUGUAGCGGUGAAAUGCGUAGAUAUCAGGAGGAACACCGAUUGCGAAGGCAGCAUACCGGCGGCGAUCUGACGCUGAGGCACGAAAGCGUGGGUAUCGAACAGGAUUAGAUACCCUUGUAGUC